CGCGUAGGCGGGAAUGCAAGUCAGAUGUGAAAUCCAAGGGCUCAACCCCUGAACUGCAUUUGAAACUGUAUUUCUUGAGUGUCGGAGAGGUUGACGGAAUUCCUAGUGUAGCGGUGAAAUGCGUAGAUAUUAGGAGGAACACCAGUGGCGAAGGCGGUCAACUGGACGAUAACUGACGCUGAGGCGCGAAAGCGUGGGAGCAAACA
RNAcentral lists this ribosomal RNA (206 nucleotides) under uncultured bacterium. RNAcentral describes it as "partial 16S ribosomal RNA". It matches the Rfam family "Bacterial small subunit ribosomal RNA", at positions 568 to 774 of the family's 1533-position model. The record is from RNAcentral.